Molecule: ribosomal RNA, 306 nt
Filed under: uncultured bacterium
Lineage: Bacteria
Description: partial 16S ribosomal RNA
Rfam family: Bacterial small subunit ribosomal RNA
Source: RNAcentral
GACAGCAGUAGCCGCGGUAAUACGUAGGUGGCAAGCGUUGUCCGGAAUUAUUGGGCGUAAAGGGCUCGCAGGCGGUUUCUUUAGUCUGAUGUGAAAGCCCCCGGCUCAACCGGGGAGGGUCAUUGGAAACUGGGAAACUUGAGUGCAGAAGAGGAGAGUGGAAUUCCACGUGUAGCGGUGAAAUGCGUAGAGAUGUGGAGGAACACCAGUGGCGAAGGCGACUCUCUGGUCUGUAACUGACGCUGAGGAGCGAAAGCGUGGGGAGCGAACAGGAUUAGAUACCCGAGUAGUCCCUGUCUCUUAUAA